This 164-nucleotide ribosomal RNA is filed under the name uncultured bacterium. RNAcentral's name for it is "partial 16S rRNA". It matches the Rfam family "Bacterial small subunit ribosomal RNA", at positions 355 to 511 of the family's 1533-position model. The record is from RNAcentral.
UAGGGAAUCUUCCACAAUGGACGCAAGUCUGAUGGAGCAACGCCGCGUGAGUGAAGAAGGUCUUCGGAUCGUAAAACUCUGUUGUUAGAGAAGAACACGAGUGAGAGUAACUGUUCAUUCGAUGACGGUAUCUAACCAGCAAGUCACGGCUAACUACGUGCCUG